This 468-nucleotide ribosomal RNA is filed under the name uncultured bacterium. RNAcentral describes it as "partial 16S ribosomal RNA". It matches the Rfam family "Bacterial small subunit ribosomal RNA", at positions 28 to 507 of the family's 1533-position model. The record is from RNAcentral.
GACGAACGCUGGCGGCGUGCUUAACACAUGCAAGUCGAACGGAAAGGCCCUGCUUUUGUGGGGUGCUCGAGUGGCGAACGGGUGAGUAACACGUGAGUAACCUGCCCUUGACUUUGGGAUAACUUCAGGAAACUGGGGCUAAUACCGGAUAGGAGCUCCUGCUGCAUGGUGGGGGUUGGAAAGUUUCGGCGGUUGGGGAUGGACUCGCGGCUUAUCAGCUUGUUGGUGGGGUAGUGGCUUACCAAGGCUUUGACGGGUAGCCGGCCUGAGAGGGUGACCGGCCACAUUGGGACUGAGAUACGGCCCAGACUCCUACGGGAGGCAGCAGUGGGGAAUAUUGCACAGUGAGCGGAAGCCUGAUACAGCAACGCCGCGUGCGGGAUGACGGCCUUCGGGUUAUAAACCGCUUUCGCCUGUGACGAAGCGUGAGUGACGGUAAUGGGUAAAGAAGCACCGGCUAACUACGUG